This 536-nucleotide ribosomal RNA is filed under the name Botryosphaeria dothidea. RNAcentral describes it as "eukaryotic LSU rRNA". The stretch from base 163 to 316 matches the Rfam family "5.8S ribosomal RNA". Lineage: Eukaryota; Fungi; Ascomycota; Dothideomycetes; Botryosphaeriales; Botryosphaeriaceae. The record is from RNAcentral.
UCGGCCCGAUCCUCCCACCCUUUGUGUACCUACCUCUGUUGCUUUGGCGGGCCGCGGUCCUCCGCGGCCGCCCCCCUCCCCGGGGGGUGGCCAGCGCCCGCCAGAGGACCAUCAAACUCCAGUCAGUAAACGAUGCAGUCUGAAAAACAUUUAAUAAACUAAAACUUUCAACAACGGAUCUCUUGGUUCUGGCAUCGAUGAAGAACGCAGCGAAAUGCGAUAAGUAAUGUGAAUUGCAGAAUUCAGUGAAUCAUCGAAUCUUUGAACGCACAUUGCGCCCUUUGGUAUUCCGAAGGGCAUGCCUGUUCGAGCGUCAUUACAACCCUCAAGCUCUGCUUGGUAUUGGGCACCGUCCUUUGCGGGCGCGCCUCAAAGACCUCGGCGGUGGCGUCUUGCCUCAAGCGUAGUAGAACAUACAUCUCGCUUCGGAGCGCAGGGCGUCGCCCGCCGGACGAACCUUCUGAACUUUUCUCAAGGUUGACCUCGGAUCAGGUAGGGAUACCCGCUGAACUUAAGCAUAUCAAUAAGCGGAGGAA